Molecule: ribosomal RNA, 118 nt
Filed under: Bacillus subtilis subsp. subtilis str. 168
Lineage: Bacteria; Bacillati; Bacillota; Bacilli; Caryophanales; Bacillaceae
Also listed under: 2 other names
Source: RNAcentral
UUUGGUGGCGAUAGCGAAGAGGUCACACCCGUUCCCAUACCGAACACGGAAGUUAAGCUCUUCAGCGCCGAUGGUAGUCGGGGGUUUCCCCCUGUGAGAGUAGGACGCCGCCAAGCAA